This 537-nucleotide ribosomal RNA is filed under the name Russula sp. Its description in RNAcentral is "SSU rRNA". It matches the Rfam family "Bacterial small subunit ribosomal RNA", at positions 400 to 966 of the family's 1533-position model. Lineage: Eukaryota; Fungi; Basidiomycota; Agaricomycetes; Russulales; Russulaceae. The record is from RNAcentral.
CGAGAGUGACUAGCUAACUGAAUCAAUUAUAAAAAUUGAUAACAUAAGGGAAAAUAAUGAUAUUACCUUAUUAUUAGUGUCGUCCAAAACUGGUGCCAGAAGACUCGGUAAGGCCUGAGACACAAACGUUAAUCGUCUUAAUCAGGCGUAAAGGGUUUGUAGGCGGCUUUAAAUUUACUUAUAAAAAUAAAAAAUAAGUAAAGAUAAAAGCUAGAAUCAAAUAGAGGAUAUAUGAAAGAAUGCUUAGAGUAGGUCUGAUAUCCUUAGAUACUAAGUAGAAUAUUAAAGGCGAAAGCUUUUUUCCAUUAAUGAUUGACGCUCAGAAACGAAGGUGAGGAUAGGAAAUAGGAUUAGAUACCCAGAAUACCCCUCUCUGUCAACGAUGAAUGGUAGUUAUUAGUAAAAAUUAUUAAUGGCAAUGUUAACACGAUAACCAUUCCGCCUUGUGAGUACAAUUGCAAAGUUGAAAACAAAAAAAUUAGUCGGUUUCGGAGCAAACGAAGUGAAGCAUGUUAUUUAAUUCGAAAUAAUCCGCCA